Pogoniulus pusillus (Red-fronted tinkerbird) is the source of this 656-nucleotide long non-coding RNA. RefSeq lists it as uncharacterized. NCBI's taxonomy places the organism in Eukaryota, Metazoa, Chordata, Aves, Piciformes, Lybiidae. The record is from RefSeq and is a predicted model, not a curated record. The transcript is spliced from 3 exons.
CCCUGGCUGUGCGGGAUUUCCCUUCGCGCGAGUCGGGGCAAUCCAGGAGCUGCUCCAGAGGCCCCAGUAGGUUCCCAGCCAAGCCUGGGGUCACUGGCAUGUAAAAGGAUCCCAGCUCCAGAGAUUCAGGGAAGUGGGCAGGGUAUACGGAUUCCACAUCACUGAGGUAAUCUAUGUAAUUUAAGUAAAUACCUAUUGUUCAAGUUCCAUAUGUAAGCCGGGACCCUGCAAAGGAUUCAAUUACCGUAGGCUUCACGCAGCCUUCCUAGGCAGCAGCAGACGUCAGACUGCUCAUGGACGCUGUGCUUUCUUUCCCACCUUGAUAACGUUUCACCUGCAAGUUUGUAGACGUCUUGGACACUGGGACCCUGGAGCCUCGAAAGCCUGACAGCUCCCAUACAAAGGUUUGUAAGGCUGAAACUGUGUUCCUGUUGUGUUCCCGUGUCCAUCUCAGAACAGAUGGGUAAAGGAACAGAACUACAUUUCAGUCAGAAGUCACUGCAAGACAAGCAGGGAAAUUUGCUCUCUUCAGAAGUCCCUGGGACCGGUUCUGCACUGAAGGGCAACCCACCAGGUCCAGAGUUCUCAUCAUUACUUUUUCCUUGAGAGAGCACCUUUGAAACUAUACAUAAACAAUUACAAAUGUCUCCUUCACA